RNAcentral lists this ribosomal RNA (459 nucleotides) under uncultured bacterium. RNAcentral's name for it is "partial 16S ribosomal RNA". It matches the Rfam family "Bacterial small subunit ribosomal RNA", at positions 338 to 795 of the family's 1533-position model. The record is from RNAcentral.
CCUACGGGGGGCAGCAGUGAGGAAUAUUGGUCAAUGGCCGCAGGGCUGAACCAGCCAAGUCGCGUGAGGGAUGAUGGUCCUAUGGAUUGUAAACCUCUUUUGUCAGGGAGCAAAGGGCGCCACGUGUGGCGCUUUGCGAGUACCUGAAGAAAAAGCAUCGGCUAACUCCGUGCCAGCAGCCGCGGUAAUACGGAGGAUGCGAGCGUUAUCCGGAUUUAUUGGGUUUAAAGGGUGCGCAGGCGGAAUGUCAAGUCAGCGGUAAAAUUUCGGGGCUCAACCCCGUCGUGCGGUUGAAACUGGCGUUCUUGAGUGAGCGAGAAGUAUGCGGAAUGCGUGGUGUAGCGGUGAAAUGCAUAGAUAUCACGCAGAACUCCGAUUGCGAAGGCAGCAUACCGGCGCUCAACUGACGCUCAUGCACGAAAGCGUGGGUAUCGAACAGGAUUAGAUACCCGGGUAGUC